RNAcentral lists this long non-coding RNA (4263 nucleotides) under Nicotiana tabacum (common tobacco). Its description in RNAcentral is "long non-coding RNA (NTAB_LNC010404)". The record is from RNAcentral. Lineage: Eukaryota; Viridiplantae; Streptophyta; Magnoliopsida; Solanales; Solanaceae.
AUAUAUAUAUAUAGACACAGUGAUGCUAUGGUAAUUAAGUGUAUGAUUUUUCACCUGUAUCGAGCAGUCAAAAUUAUUUCCAGGUCAGAGUGAAAUUCAUCCUCCACCUGGAUAGAUAAAAUGUUGAUUAAAUAGUUAGGUAAUAAUGGUAUGAAGUGACAGGUAUAUAUUCAAACACUAGAAGAUUACAAAAUUCAACUUGGUCAAAAAGGGAUCUUCUGUUUAUCUUUUGAACUAUAAUGGGUUUCAAUUCUUAUAUGGGUUUCAACUUCGGCUAGUACUUGCUAUUUAAGAAUAGAUCUGUCGAACUCUUCAAAUAAGUCUGAUGCUCAAUUGGCAAGUGGAUAUUCCGUGCCUGGACACGAUACUAUAGACUAGAAUUCGAUCUUGAAAGAGGAAAUAAUAGCCUUUUGUCUUGAUGUUUUUUUGGUCUGGGCUUAUAAAGACUCUCCUACAACCUUGAAUAAAUAACCUGAUGAAGCAUGUUAUAAACUUGACGACGUACAUAACCCUUCGGGGUUGUCCAGUUGAUUUGGAGUGGGAUCGAAUUCACCCUCAAUGCCUUCUGGGUUGAGCCUGUUGCACAUGACUUGCCUAGUGCGAUUUAUAUACGCUGUGUGAUUUGCAGGCUAUUGCACAUGAGGUUUACCCGGUGCGCAUAGAGUCCUCGCCCAAAUGGUAGAGGAUGUGAUCGACACCAACUUUAUUGUGGUGUCUUCAAAGAAGUAAAACCACUAAAAGCUCACAGGAAGCAUUAAAAAAAAGUGAAAAGUGAAUUCUUGUGCUUCUAAUUACCUCAUUGUCAUCGUUUACACCAGGGGUGGCAAACGGGAUACCAUUUACGGAAACGUUAUAAGGUUAUAAAUUAGCGAAAGCAUAUAAUUAUGAUUUGCUGACAAAAAAAUCAUAAAGCGAAGUCCAAAACGGGAUUAUCCUAAGAAAAUGAACAUGUUAUAAUAGCAGUAGAUUCCCUACAUAACUACACCAAAUUUGUACAAAUGGUGAAAGAAGAAAAAACACACCAAAGUCAGCAAGUAAUAUAAAUAAUAGUUGAACGCCAAAUCAAAGUAAAAGGAUGUGCUACCAAAAAGAAAGAAAAUACAUAGUUACUAGAAUUAAUAGCAAUUUAACUCACUCACCAGAAACGGAAACACAGCUAGUAGAAAGGCCGCCACGAUCCGCCGGAGCUUGCAGAGAGAAACGACAUCCCUUAUCACCCUGAAAAUUAAAGAGAGAAACCAACAAAAGACCAGAGAAAUGACUUAAGUCAACGUCAACGAUAAUGCUAUAUUCAAUACUACUACCAAAGCCGUAGCCGGAGCCCUCCACUUCCAACCAAGAGAUUGUGAGUUCGAAUCACUCCAAUAGCAAGGUGAAAAAUUCUUGGAGGGAGGGAGCUGAUGGUCUAUCGGAAACAGCCUCUCUACCCAGGAGAGGGAUAAAGUCUGCGUACACACUACCCUUCUCAAACUCCACUAUUAAAAUUAUAUUGGGUUAUUGUUGUUGUAUAUGAUCAGAAGCAUCACAUGCCUACUGACCGCGGGUCACACAUGACAAAUAUAAUAAUGGCAGAGGUCAUCAGUCAUCAGUCAUCACUAACGUACGAACUAUAAAUAACGCUAAUAUAUAGAAUAUGAAAACUUUUUUGUCCAAGCAUGCCUAACCAAAUUAAGCACCAACUCACUUCAUUUAUUCUUUCCUUGGAGUUGAUAAUAAAAUCGACGUACGUAGAUAUAUAUCCAGCUCUUUGAAUUAAUUAACCUGUAUUUCAACUUAUAAUGUGAAAGAAUUACAAGUUUUGAACGGGUUAAUUUACCUGGUAAAAGGUGGCCUAGAGUUGCUUGUUUCGCUCUUGUAAUUUCCUUCUUCUCUACGAAUAUUACCAUCUUCGAACACUAAGAUUUGUUCCAUCAACUCUUUCCCAAAAAAGAACCAACAAAACGAAUGCUAUAAUCUAUGCCAGAUAAUGCGUGCAGGCCAUCUGAGAUAUGGUUCUUUUUAUAUUGACGGUUUUAGAAUGGUGCCAAAAUAAAAUAAAAAAAAUGGGUGCCAAAAAAUAAAUUACGUGCCUCUUUCCUAUCUAGCUUUGUGAAAGACGCGUAAUGACGGCCCAAUUUUCCUCCCUUAAAGUCGUAAUAGUAGGAAGCUCAGUGGCAAAAAUGCUUAUUGUGAGUUACUCUUUUUAUUUUCGUUUUUCAAAAUUAAUAAUCAUAUGAUAAGAGGCUUCAUAUGCCUUCCUAGGUGCAAAUCACAACUUUUGGGGAGUAUGAAUAGUUUACUUGUGCAACCGGAUUUAAAUAGUCAUUCAAAUAAUUUACUAAAUUUGAAAAAAAUAAAAGUGCUAAUAAAGAAGGCCAAGCUUUAGAUACGAGGUGUUAAUCGCCCCCCCAUGAUAUUUUAGUUGGUGUGAACAUUAAUAUAAUGGUUGAUUUUUUAAUAUUUUCUUCAUGUCUUAUGGUUAGGGGUGUGCAUGGACUGUAUUGGUUCGAAUUUUAAAAUCAAACCAACUAUAUCAGUUUGGAUUGGUUCGGUUUUGUCGGAUUUUGUUGGGUUUUCAGAUUUUUUGUUACAUGAAUAUUAUUUCAAUCUUACUUUAUUAAAGUUAUAGAUAAAGUCUUGAUAAGUGAAUAUAUGUUUACUGAAAAUUUUAAAAAAAUAAACAAACAUAUGAUCUAUUAAAGUAUUCUUAUGGAAAAUAUUUUUUUAGUAACACAUGAUAGUUUACUGAGCUGAUUGGAUGGUUAAAUUGUUCUAACUCAUAAGUCAUUAUUUAUUUUAGUUUGUCAAUAUUUUAGUAUUAAAUUAGUUCCAUUGUAUGAGUACGUCUGAUUUAUGACAUGUAAUCCAAUCGAUGUCGGACACUCUAACCUUUUGACUUUUAAUUACUGUAAAUACGGAAUUAAAUAUAUUGUCUAGUUUGACAAAAGAUUCACUUAUGGCUACAUAUAUAUCUCACACUGUAAUUAAAGUUUCUAAUUUUCGUACGACACUCUUUUAAAAUGGUUCUCGAUGCUUUACGUGAUAUAUUAUGGACAAAGAGGCAGACUGAGGGAGUAUUAACCCCACCUAAGUAGGUGAAUGAUACCAUAACUACAAAAAAAAAAUAGCCUAUUUGUGGAGGGUAUUUUUACGUUUUGCGGCGGUCAGCGACCCUCAUUAAUUGAUGUUGCUGCGGUCUUCAAAACCCCAGCUGUAAGAUUCGCCGCUAUCAUUUUGUGGCAGUUUUUUACAGUCCGCCAUAACCAUUUAAUGGAGGUUAUUUUCCGGCGGUUUAACCCCCACAGACUAAAAUUAUAUAGCAUUUACUAUGCCAAAUGUAAAUUAUGUUCUCUGAUUGUACAAAUCUCUGGGCUGUCCCUUGGUCAAGUAUUUGGGCAGUGGGUACAUAAACCAUAUAACUAUAGUUGGAACAAAACUUUAAUAAGCAAAUGUGUAAGUUAAAUAUACGAACAAAUCUUCUUUUGCUUAGAAUAAAUUUUUGCAGUAUAAGUUACAGUUAACGAAUUCUCUGAUGAUCAUUGAUUUCAUUGAUUGUAAACCUUCGUUUCCAUUGCUAUUACAAAUUUUUCAGCGCAAGAGACAAAAGAAGAAGAUUUUCAGCUUGUUUUGUCUUCAACAGAAAUUUUUCUAGCUUAACUACCCAAUACUAUAAUAAUUACAGGAGUUUUGAAGUAGAGGAAAAAACCUCCUUCUUCUAUAAUAAAAAAGGAACAGAGAUAACCUAAAUCAAAUCGCGUGCAAAAACUACUAAAAUUGGAGCAGAGAGAACCAAAAUUAAAUCAUGUACAGAAACUACUGAAAUUCGGAUAUUACGAAAACAUAAUAAAAACCCUAAUUUGACCUUUCAACAGAUUAGGAAGGAGAGGACAGAGAGCUCCAAUUCGAGUUGUACCUUUUGCUAGGAGAUUCAGCUACAAGCACACUUCAAAAGCAAUUGCUGAAAUUCACAUUACACAAUUAAAAUCGCACAGAUAUCAAACUUAGAGGAAUUAAAAUCGGAUAUAAAAAUCGCACAGAUAAAUUACUUAAAAUAAUGAUAAUUCAAAUAAUGGGAGAUUAAAGAGAGAAGGAGAACUUGCCAUUUCAGAAGAGAGAAAGAAUUUCUCUUAACCCUAAAUCGUUAGAAUGAAGGAGAGUUGUGAGAAAGAUGAGUGAUUUUUUUAGGGCUUUUUUUAUCAAGCUUAAAAGAAAAGACCGAAUAAAAAGAGGGAAAGGUCAAAAUAAUGAAGGAAAUAUUGUGCUUGUUAGCGCCUUUUUUUAACU